This 118-nucleotide ribosomal RNA is filed under the name Pelusios castaneus (West African mud turtle). RNAcentral describes it as "5.8S ribosomal RNA (ENSPCEG00000009209.1)". It matches the Rfam family "5.8S ribosomal RNA", at positions 36 to 154 of the family's 154-position model. Rfam says of the family: 5.8S ribosomal RNA (5.8S rRNA) is a component of the large subunit of the eukaryotic ribosome. It is transcribed by RNA polymerase I as part of the 45S precursor that also contains 18S and 28S rRNA. Lineage: Eukaryota; Metazoa; Chordata; Testudines; Pelomedusidae. The record is from Rfam by way of RNAcentral.
AUGAAGAACGCAGCUAGCUGCGAGAAUUAAUGUGAAUUGCAGGACACCUUGAUCAUCGACACUUCGAACGCACUUGCGGCCCCGGGUUCCUCCCGGGGCUACGCCUGUCAGAGCGUCG